UACGUAGGGCGCAAGCGUUGUCCGGAAUUAUUGGGCGUAAAGAGCUCGUAGGCGGUUUGUCGCGUCUGCUGUGAAAACUGGAGGCUCAACCUCCAGCCUGCAGUGGGUACGGGCAGACUAGAGUGUGGUAGGGGAGACUGGAAUUCCUGGUGUAGCGGUGAAAUGCGCAGAUAUCAGGAGGAACACCGAUGGCGAAGGCAGGUCUCUGGGCCACUACUGACGCUGAGAAGCGAAAGCAUGGGGAGCGAACAGG
This 253-nucleotide ribosomal RNA is filed under the name uncultured bacterium. Its description in RNAcentral is "partial 16S ribosomal RNA". It matches the Rfam family "Bacterial small subunit ribosomal RNA", at positions 524 to 776 of the family's 1533-position model. The record is from RNAcentral.